AAACCGUUCAGGGGUAAACCUAAGAAACCCAAAAGAUCGAACGGGGAGAUUCAUCGUCAGCGACGCUGGCUUCGCGUCGGUGGGCGAUGUCCCGCGGGGCCUCGCGGCUCGCGCGCGGACACGCUGCCGUGCGUCGAUGUCCGGCGUGCGUCGUCGUGCACUUCUCCCCUAGUAGAACGUCGCGACCCGCUGGGUGUCGGUCUACGGCCCGGGUGCGGUGACUGACGCGUCGCCGGUAAAACGGCACGCGUCAAACCCCCGGUCGCCCGGCCGGCUGCCCGGCGGUACACGCAAGGUAUCAGGCCGCACGCUCCCACGCUUGCGCGCGCGCGCGCUCUCUCCGCUCCACCAUAGGUGGGGAGGGUGUGUGUGCCGCGAGUGAGUAGAGUGCGUCGAGGCCGUCGCAAGCGCGCGCCACGGUACACGGAGGUAACGGACCUAGCGCCGUCACCGGUCCUGGCCCGCUGUUGGUCGUACGGUUAACCUUCGACAGGCCAACGAACGUCCCCGUCCCGUCCCCCCGGUUGUCCGGGUGGGAUCGCGCGGCGGGGACCCAUACCGGUCGGCGACGCUACUGCUUUGGGUACUCUUAGGA
This 595-nucleotide ribosomal RNA is filed under the name Calyptomyrmex kaurus. RNAcentral describes it as "eukaryotic LSU rRNA". Lineage: Eukaryota; Metazoa; Arthropoda; Insecta; Hymenoptera; Formicidae. The record is from RNAcentral.